GGUAUGGGAUGAGCUUGCGUCCGAUUAGCUAGUUGGCGGGGCAACGGCCCACCAAGGCGACGAUCGGUAGCCGGCCUGAGAGGGUGAUCGGCCACAUUGGGACUGAGAUACGGCCCAGACUCCUACGGGAGGCAGCAGUAGGGAAUAUUGCACAAUGGGGGAAACCCUGAUGCAGCAACGCCACGUGUGGGAAGAAGCAUUUCGGUGUGUAAACCACUGUCAUGAGGGAAUAAGGCCCUUAUUCGUAAGGGAUUGAAUGUACCUUGAGAGGAAGCACCGGCAAACUUCGUGCCAGCAGCCGCGGUAAUACGAGGGGUGCAAGCGUUGUUCGGAAUUACUGGGCGUAAAGGGAGCGUAGGCGGAGAUUCAAGCGGAUUGUACAAUUCCGGGGCCCAACCCCGGCUCUGCAGUCCGAACUGGAUCUCUUGGAUAGUUCAGGGGCAGGC
This 446-nucleotide ribosomal RNA is filed under the name uncultured bacterium. Its description in RNAcentral is "bacterial SSU rRNA". It matches the Rfam family "Bacterial small subunit ribosomal RNA", at positions 217 to 662 of the family's 1533-position model. The record is from RNAcentral.